GCCGAUGUGAUGGAAUGGUAGACUUCACGCGUUGAGAUCGCGUGGCACGAAAGUGCGUGGGGGUUCAAAUCCCCCCAUCGGUACAA
This 86-nucleotide transfer RNA is filed under the name Methylotenera sp. RNAcentral's name for it is "tRNA-Leu". It matches the Rfam family "tRNA". From Rfam's summary of the family: Transfer RNA (tRNA) molecules are approximately 80 nucleotides in length. Their secondary structure includes four short double-helical elements and three loops (D, anti-codon, and T loops). Further hydrogen bonds mediate the characteristic L-shaped molecular structure. tRNAs have two regions of fundamental functional importance: the anti-codon, which is responsible for specific mRNA codon recognition, and the 3' end, to which the tRNAs corresponding amino acid is attached (by aminoacyl-tRNA synthetases). tRNAs cope with the degeneracy of the genetic code in two manners: having more than one tRNA (with a specific anti-codon) for a particular amino acid; and 'wobble' base-pairing, i.e. permitting non-standard base-pairing at the 3rd anti-codon position. Lineage: Bacteria; Pseudomonadati; Pseudomonadota; Betaproteobacteria; Nitrosomonadales; Methylophilaceae. The record is from RNAcentral.